GACGCUGUGGCCGAAUGGUUAGCGCGCUGGACUCCGGACCGAGCAGUCCGGGUUCGAGCCCUGGCCGGGGUGACUGUGUUG
This 81-nucleotide transfer RNA is filed under the name Desmophyllum pertusum. RNAcentral's name for it is "tRNA-Arg". Lineage: Eukaryota; Metazoa; Cnidaria; Anthozoa; Scleractinia; Caryophylliidae. The record is from RNAcentral.